GAAUUGGCUGUAAUCAGUGCUCUGUGCUGCCUGUCUGCGUUCGCGCUGCUCGGCUCUCCGAGGCGUUCGUAGGCUUAGCUCGCUGGUACUCAGUACGCAUUUACAGUCAAAGUUGCUGGAUGCCUUGGUUGCUCCUUCCGAACUGUGUGGUGAGGCCCACUUCGGUGGUGUCCUAUCUGCAGGAAGGUUGGUGGCGGCUAAGGUGUUUUGAGCCUUGCUUUUGCGAUGAGUCUGGGUGUGAGCGUUCCGGGGGAUCAUCUGGCGUGCCAGUGUGAACCCGUGCGUUUCAUGCUUAGGCAACUUCGUGGGCUCUUUUCCGGCCUGAAAAGUCGACCACCUAUCCGACCCGUCUUGAAACACGGACCAAGAAGUCUAGCAUGUACGCGAGUCAUUGGGCGAAAACCCCAAAGGCGCAAUGAAAGUAAAGGUUAGCUUGCUAACUGAUAUGUGAUCCGUCGGCUUCGGCGGCGCAACAUAGCCCCAUGCAAACUGCUUGCAGUUGUGUGGAGGUAGAGCGUACAUGCUGGGACCCGAAAGAUGGUGAACUAUGCCUGAGCAGGACGAAGCCAGAGGAAACUCUGGUGGAGGUCCGAAGCGGUUCUGACGUGCAAAUCGAUCGUCUGACUUGGGUAU
RNAcentral lists this ribosomal RNA (633 nucleotides) under Rhabditolaimus ulmi. RNAcentral's name for it is "partial large subunit ribosomal RNA". It matches the Rfam family "Eukaryotic large subunit ribosomal RNA", at positions 437 to 918 of the family's 3401-position model. The record is from RNAcentral. Lineage: Eukaryota; Metazoa; Nematoda; Chromadorea; Rhabditida; Diplogasteridae.